CGGGAAAGCGAGUUUGUUUACUUGCCUCGCCGACAUGCGGCGCGCGCGGCCGAGGGAAGGCGGCGAGACUACGGCUCCCGGCGCGCCCCGCGCGGGCAAUGAUAGUGCCCCAAACAACAAGUGGAGACUUAUAAAGAGAGACAGGCUGCAAUCGGUAUUUGAAAUUCCGCAGGCGGGUUUCGCUACUGGCACGGGAGGGUCCAGUUGCAAUUACAUGAAGAUUUUUGGGCGCCAGGUUGGCGACCACAGUUUAAAAACCUCUGCCUUAGUCCAUAGUUAAUUCCAUUUCCAUUGUGUGUGCUGCUUUUUUUUUUUUUGCAUGCUGGGACAAAUGAAAUGUAAGAGCAGGCUAUAUUCAAGCAGUGUUGCAUUAUAAGUGAUCCCAGUGACAUCUAGUCCAUCCCUUCUGGCAAAUAAACAUUCCGUUGUGACAACUGUAACCUAGACUAAGGUGCGAUUUGGUGCCUAGCUUAUAUAUCUGAGUUUCUAACACUGGCUGCAAUUCUAGACACUUUAACUUACCUAAAUCCACAGGUGGGCAAUACCUAUAUUAGGACAAAUCAGUGUCACAAGCUAUUUUUUU
This is a non-coding RNA of Podarcis muralis (Common wall lizard), 583 nucleotides long. NCBI's taxonomy places the organism in Eukaryota, Metazoa, Chordata, Lepidosauria, Squamata, Lacertidae. The record is from RefSeq and is a predicted model, not a curated record.